This 521-nucleotide ribosomal RNA is filed under the name uncultured bacterium. Its description in RNAcentral is "bacterial SSU rRNA". It matches the Rfam family "Bacterial small subunit ribosomal RNA", at positions 335 to 856 of the family's 1533-position model. The record is from RNAcentral.
ACUCCUACGGGAGGCAGCAGUGGGGAAUAUUGGACAAUGGGCGGAAGCCUGAUCCAGCAACGCCGCGUGAGGGAUGACGGCCUUCGGGUUGUAAACCUCUUUCAGUACCGACGAAGCGCCCGUUGUGGGUGGUGACGGUAGGUACAGAAGAAGCACCGGCCAACUACGUGCCAGCAGCCGCGGUAAUACGUAGGGUGCGAGCGUUGUCCGGAAUUAUUGGGCGUAAAGGGCUCGUAGGCGGUUUGUCGCGUCGGGAGUGAAAACACCGGGCUUAACUCGGUGCCUGCUUUCGAUACGGGCAGACUAGAGGUAUGCAGGGGAGAACGGAAUUCCUGGUGUAGCGGUGAAAUGCGCAGAUAUCAGGAGGAACACCGGUGGCGAAGGCGGUUCUCUGGGCAUUACCUGACGCUGAGGAGCGAAAGUGUGGGGAGCGAACAGGAUUAGAUACCCUGGUAGUCCACACCGUAAACGUUGGGCGCUAGGUGUGGGGCCUAUUCCAUGGGUUCCGUGCCGCAGCUAAC